Molecule: ribosomal RNA, 531 nt
Filed under: uncultured bacterium
Lineage: Bacteria
Description: bacterial SSU rRNA
Rfam family: Bacterial small subunit ribosomal RNA
Source: RNAcentral
AGAGUUUGAUCAUGGCUCAGGACGAACGCUGACGGUGUGCUUUAGGCAUGCAAGUCGAACGAGAAAGCCCUUCGGGGUGAGUACAGUGGCGAACGGGUGAGUAACACGUGGGCAACCUGCCCCUCGCAGGGGGAUAACCGGAGGAAACUCCGGCUAAUACCCCGUAAGCUUUCAGGGUCGCAUGGCCCUGUAAGGAAAGGUAGCUUCGGCCAUCCGGCGAGGGAUGGGCCCGCGGUGCAUUAGCUAGUUGGUGGGGUAACGGCCCACCAAGGCGACGAUGCGUAGCUGGUCUGAGAGGAUGAUCAGCCACACUGGGACUGAGGCACGGCCCAGACUCCUACGGGAGGCAGCAGCCAGGAAUCUUGGGCAAUGGGCGAAAGCCUGACCCAGCAACACCGUGUGGGCGAUGAAGGCCUUCGGGUCGUAAAGCCCUGUUGAUAGGGACGAAGGGCGAAGGGUUAAUAGCCCCUAGCCUGACGGUACCUUUCGAGGAAGCCCCGGCUAACUACGUGCCAGCAGCGGCGGUAAUUC